AAAAAAUACAAGAAAUAUAAAUUUGUUGGCUUCUGCUUGCCCUUUUCCUGGUUCUUCUUCUUCUCAUCAUUGUUCUCCUUCACAAUUUCUUCAUGCCCAUUGAUCAGCCCUUCCUCCUUGGUACUCUCAAUUUUUUCUCAUUGAUGCUUCCUUCUUCCCUGGUACUCUCUUCUUCUUACACUCUCUUCUUCUCUCAUUGACUGUACCUCCUUCCAUACUCUAUUCUGUCCUUGCCACAAAGUUACCAAAAUCAAGACGCUAGGCACUGCCUCGUUUGAAUUUAGGGUUUCCUCGUUUGAAUUUGGGGUUUCUAGAUGAUGACUGCAUUUCUAUCUAUAUUGUUGUUAUGGUUUUCAUCCACCGCUUUGAAGCCAUCACCGCCGCUGUUUGGAUUGAACAUGCCCAAACCAGUUACUGCUCAUUGCAUAUGGGUUGUUU
Molecule: unclassified non-coding RNA, 438 nt
Filed under: Hevea brasiliensis (rubber tree)
Lineage: Eukaryota; Viridiplantae; Streptophyta; Magnoliopsida; Malpighiales; Euphorbiaceae
Source: RNAcentral